RNAcentral lists this ribosomal RNA (494 nucleotides) under uncultured Acholeplasma sp. Its description in RNAcentral is "bacterial SSU rRNA". It matches the Rfam family "Bacterial small subunit ribosomal RNA", at positions 904 to 1382 of the family's 1533-position model. Lineage: Bacteria; Bacillati; Mycoplasmatota; Mollicutes; Acholeplasmatales; Acholeplasmataceae. The record is from RNAcentral.
UUGCCAGCCCGCUACAGAAACUUAAGGAAUUGACGGGGCCCGCACAAGCGGUGGAGCAUGUGGUUUAAUUCGAUGAUACGCGAGGAACCUUACCUGGGCUCAAAUGUAUGUUGACGUAUCUGAAAGGGAUACUUCUUCGGACAAUAUACAAGGUGCUGCAUGGUUGUCGUCAGCUCGUGCCGUGAGGUGUCGGGUUAAGUCCCGCAACGAGCGCAACCCUAUUGCUAGUUACCAUCAUUAAGUUGGGGACUCUAGCGAGACUGCCAGUGAUAAACUGGAGGAAGGUGGGGAUGACGUCAAAUCAUCAUGCCCCUUAUGACCUGGGCUACAAACGUGAUACAAUGGCUGGAACAAAGGGAUGCGAAGCAGUGAUGUGGAGCGAAACCCAUAAAAACAGUCUCAGUUCGGAUUGAAGUCUGCAACUCGACUUCAUGAAGUCGGAAUCGCUAGUAAUCGCGGAUCAGAACGCCGCGGUGAAUACGUUCUCGGGGUUU